RNAcentral lists this ribosomal RNA (497 nucleotides) under uncultured bacterium. Its description in RNAcentral is "partial 16S ribosomal RNA". It matches the Rfam family "Bacterial small subunit ribosomal RNA", at positions 28 to 507 of the family's 1533-position model. The record is from RNAcentral.
GAUGAACGCUGGCGGCGUGCCUAAUACAUGCAAGUCGAGCGAACAGACGAGGAGCUUGCUCCUCUGACGUUAGCGGCGGACGGGUGAGUAACACGUGGAUAACCUACCUAUAAGACUGGGAUAACUUCGGGACACCGGAGCUAAUACCGGAUAAUAUAUUGAACCGCAUGGUUCAAUAGUGAAAGACGGUUUUGCUGUCACUUAUAGAUGGAUCCGCGCCGCAUUAGCUAGUUGGUAAGGUAACGGCUUACCAAGGCGACGAUGCGUAGCCGACCUGAGAGAGUGAUCGGACACACUGGAACUGAGACACGGUCCAGACUCCUACGGGAGGCAGCAGUAGGGAAUCUUCCGAAAUGGGCGAAAGCAUGACGGAGCAACGCCGCGUGAGUGAUGAAGGUAUUCGGAUCGUAAAACUCUGUUAUUAGGGAAGAACAAAUGUGUAAGUAACUAUGCACGUCUUGACGGUACCUAAUCAGAAAGCAACGGCUAACUACGUG